This is a long non-coding RNA of Brienomyrus brachyistius, 278 nucleotides long. RefSeq lists it as uncharacterized. NCBI's taxonomy places the organism in Eukaryota, Metazoa, Chordata, Actinopteri, Osteoglossiformes, Mormyridae. The record is from RefSeq and is a predicted model, not a curated record. The transcript is spliced from 3 exons.
UAACAACUUCCUGUCUGUCAAUGAAAGUGAAAGCGAUUUAAAACUGCCAUUUUGUCAAGAAACGCGAAUAUGAUUCUGGAAAAAUAAAAAGAUAUUUUUAUUGCCAGUUCCUGCUGUGCGGUGUGACAGUGACAGACAGAAGUGGCCAGGAUCUACAAAAGUCCCUGGUCCAGACAGCCCAAGAACCUGUAAACAAGGACCAGGUUCCAGAACUUCGGUGUGAAAGCGCCUGAUAAGAGUCAGACUACAAUACACGGGACCUGGUUACAACCCCAAUC